RNAcentral lists this ribosomal RNA (473 nucleotides) under uncultured bacterium. RNAcentral describes it as "bacterial SSU rRNA". It matches the Rfam family "Bacterial small subunit ribosomal RNA", at positions 335 to 801 of the family's 1533-position model. The record is from RNAcentral.
ACUCCUACGGGAGGCAGCAGUAGGGAAUCUUCCACAAUGGGCGCAAGCCUGAUGGAGCAACACCGCGUGAGUGAAGAAGGGUUUCGGCUCGUAAAGUUCUGUUGUUAAAGAAGAACACGUAUGAGAGUAACUGUUCAUACGUUGACGGUAUUUAACCAGAAAGUCACGGCUAACUACGUGCCAGCAGCCGCGGUAAUACGUAGGUGGCAAGCGUUAUUCGGAUUUAUUGGGCGUAAAGAGAGUGCAGGCGGUUUCUAAGUCUGAUGUGAAAGCCUUCGGCUUAACCGGAGAAGUGCAUCGGAAACUGGAUAACUUGAGUGCAGAAGAGGGUAGUGGAACUCCAUGUGUAGCGGUGGAAUGCGUAGAUAUAUGGAAGAACACCAGUGGCGAAGGCGGCUACCUGGUCUGCAACUGACGCUGAGACUCGAAAGCAUGGGUAGCGAACAGGAUUAGAUACCCCUGGUAGGAUAGCG